This 892-nucleotide ribosomal RNA is filed under the name uncultured bacterium. RNAcentral's name for it is "bacterial SSU rRNA". It matches the Rfam family "Bacterial small subunit ribosomal RNA", at positions 9 to 924 of the family's 1533-position model. The record is from RNAcentral.
GAGUUUGAUCCUGGCUCAGGACGAACGCUGGCGGCGUGCCUAACACAUGCAAGUCGGACGGACAUCAGGUGGAAGCUUGCUGAAGCCUGGUGUUAGUGGCGGACGGGUGAGUGACGCGUGAGGACCUAUCCGGACGAGGGGGACAACAGUUGGAAACGGCUGCUAAGACCCCAUAAGCCGAGAGGUGAAAGGGAGCGAUCCGCUUCCGGAGGGGCUCGCGGGCUAUCAGCUGGUUGGUGGGGUAACGGCCUACCAAGGCGAAGACGGCAAGCCGGCCUGAGAGGGCGACCGGCCACACUGGAACUGAGAUACGGUCCAGACUCCUACGGGAGGCAGCAGUGGGGAAUAUUGGGCAAUGGGGGAAACCCUGACCCAGCGACGCCGCGUGGAGGAAGAAGUCCCUCGGGAUGUAAACUCCUGUUGUGCGGGAAGAAGCGAGUGACGGUACCACACGAGGAAGCCCCGGCAAACUACGUGCCAGCAGCCGCGGUAAUACGUAGGGGGCGAGCGUUGUCCGGAAUCACUGGGCGUAAAGGGCACGCAGGCGGACCGACAGGUCGUUUGUGAAAGGCGAGGGCUUAACCCUUGUUUGCGGACGAAACCGUUGGACUGGAGUACCGGAGAGGGAAGUGGAAUUCCCGGUGUAGCGGUGAAAUGCGUAGAUAUCGGGAGGAACACCAGUGGCGAAGGCGGCUUCCUGGCCGGAUACUGACGCUCAAGUGCGAAAGCUGGGGGAGCGAACGGGAUUAGAUACCCCGGUAGUCCCAGCCGUAAACGAUGAAUGCUAGGUGUGGGUGCCGUCGGGCAUCCGUGCCGGAGUUAACGCGAUAAGCAUUUCGCCUGGGGAGUACGAUCGCAAGAUUGAAACUUAAAGGGAUUGACGGAUCUUUCU